RNAcentral lists this long non-coding RNA (1373 nucleotides) under Medicago truncatula (barrel medic). RNAcentral's name for it is "lncRNA gene26911". The record is from RNAcentral. Lineage: Eukaryota; Viridiplantae; Streptophyta; Magnoliopsida; Fabales; Fabaceae.
AAAAAUAAAAAAAUAUAUGUGAAAUGUCAAAUAUUGUAAUGUCAGUGGUGUGGUUUGAUCUAUAUAAUAUUUUUGAUUCUUCUCUUGCUGGCUCGACCCUACCUCUAAUGGGUUACUGCUGUUGCCACCGUGGCAGAACCAAUAUUUGCAGGCACAACUAAACCACCACCACUUCCACCACCAUUUCUAACACGCACUGAACAAUCAUCGUAUAGAAACUUGUGAACAAUCCUAAGACUCUUUGUCAAAACACAAUCCUCCCAAGUUUUCUCCUUAAGCACCACCUCCGUAGCAUCAAGACGGUGCAUGUUCCUCUUCCACAUACCAUAAAGCCUAUGAAUCUUUUGAACUUGUCUAUUUGCAAGCUUAAUAUUAUUUAUUUUAAGAGCAUCAAUAGCAACUUCUAGAAGCUUCUUCAUGGUUCUUUCAUCAACUUUUCCUUCUAACUCAGCUCUAAAAAAUUGGUCAAAUUCAGGUACACCAAUGGCUCUUCGUAUCCCUCUUGUAUAAUCAUGAUUUUCUUUGUUAAAUAUUUCACGAACUUCGUCAACUUGACCUGCUUCAAUCAUCCGAUCCACACGUGUGGAUAAAGAUGAUUGGAGUACUUGACGUGAAACAUCAACCCAAAGAAAACAACAUUCAUACCUUGUAUGAAACUCAUGAUGAUGAUUAACCAAAGCUUCAAUGUACGAAUUUGAUCCACCUGCUAUAAUAGGUAACCCAUCUCUAGCGACGAUGGAGCCAGUAGCCAUCGUCGCCUGUUCACAAAACUCCUUGGAUGUGAAAUCUGAAUUAGGAUCAAUGGUUCCAAGUAAAUGAUGGUGGACCCCACGACACUCUUCUUCUGUGACUUUGUUUGUUGUUAUGUCAAGUCCUUUGUAAACUUGUAUUUUGUCGGAGUUGAUAAUCUCUGCCGGUGGAAAAUGUGUUGCUAAAUCUAUUGCCAACUUGGAUUUCCCGGUUGCGGUGGCGCCCAUGAUCACAAGUACUUUCUCCUUGUUACGAUGUUGUUGAAACAAUGAAUUGUUAUCCAUUAGUGGAGGUUGGAAACUCACUAGAGGCUUGCAAGCAACAGCACCCGACACUGAAAAUAUAUUCAUCAUUUUUUUUUUCUUCCUCUUAUUUUUCUUCUUAAUUAUCAAAUUUGAUGAAGAAAGCGUAACCUGCAAAGAAAGUUGACCAGACAUUUUUAAUUUACUCGUGUUAUGAAUAACAUUAGCAAAACCAGCUCAUAAGCAUAUUAGUUUAUUAAAUCCAACUACAAAUAGAAUCUAACAAGAGGGAGAAAAGAAUAAUGGAUCUAAAAAAAUAAAUGAACUUAAUCUAUAUAUCUGCAAGCAAAGCAAUGCCUUGUAUAUGGUAUGAAAAAGAAG